This 337-nucleotide ribosomal RNA is filed under the name Klebsiella pneumoniae subsp. pneumoniae. RNAcentral describes it as "partial 23S ribosomal RNA". It matches the Rfam family "Bacterial large subunit ribosomal RNA", at positions 125 to 502 of the family's 2925-position model. The record is from RNAcentral. Lineage: Bacteria; Pseudomonadati; Pseudomonadota; Gammaproteobacteria; Enterobacterales; Enterobacteriaceae.
AACCCAGUGCAAUUCGUUGCACUAUCGUUAACUGAAUACAUAGGUUAACGAGGCGAACCGGGGGAACUGAAACAUCUAAGUACCCCGAGGAAAAGAAAUCAACCGAGAUUCCCCCAGUAGCGGCGAGCGAACGGGGAGCAGCCCAGAGUCUGAAUCAGCUUGUGUGUUAGUGGAACGGUCUGGAAAGUCCGACGGUACAGGGUGAUAGUCCCGUACACCAAAAUGCACAGGUUGUGAACUCGAAGAGUAGGGCGGGACACGUGGUAUCCUGUCUGAAUAUGGGGGGACCAUCCUCCAAGGCUAAAUACUCCUGACUGACCGAUAGUGAACCAGUACC